GAUGAACGCUGGCGGCGUGCCUAAUACAUGCAAGUCGAGCGAACAGACGAGGAGCUUGCUCCUCUGACGUUAGCGGCGGACGGGUGAGUAACACGUGUAUAACCUACCUAUAAGACUGGGAUAACUUCGGGAAACCGGAGCUAAUACCGGAUAAUAUAUUGAACCGCAUGGUUCAAUAGUGAAAUACGGUUUUGCUGGCACUUAUAGAUGGAUCCGCGCCGCAUUAGCUAGUUGUUAAGGUAACGGCUUACCAAGGCAACGAUGCGUAGCCGACCUGAGAGGGGGAUCGGCCACACUGGAACUGAGACACGGUCCAGACUCCUACGGGAGGCAGCAGUAGGGAAUCUGCCGCAAUGGGCGAAAGCCUGACGGAGCAACGCCGCGUGAGUGAUGAAGGUCUUCGGAUCGUAAAACUCUGUUAUUAGGGAAGAACAAAUGUGUAAGUAACUAUGCACGUCUUGACGGUACCUAAUCAGAAAGCCACGGCUAACUACGUG
This 497-nucleotide ribosomal RNA is filed under the name uncultured bacterium. RNAcentral describes it as "partial 16S ribosomal RNA". It matches the Rfam family "Bacterial small subunit ribosomal RNA", at positions 28 to 507 of the family's 1533-position model. The record is from RNAcentral.